Molecule: ribosomal RNA, 466 nt
Filed under: Vreelandella stevensii
Lineage: Bacteria; Pseudomonadati; Pseudomonadota; Gammaproteobacteria; Oceanospirillales; Halomonadaceae
Description: partial 16S ribosomal RNA
Rfam family: Bacterial small subunit ribosomal RNA
Source: RNAcentral
CCUACGGGAGGCAGCAGUGGGGAAUAUUGGACAAUGGGCGAAAGCCUGAUCCAGCCAUGCCGCGUGUGUGAAGAAGGCCUUCGGGUUGUAAAGCACUUUCAGUGGGGAAGAAAGCCUUGGGGCUAAUACCCUCGAGGAAGGACAUCACCCACAGAAGAAGCACCGGCUAACUCCGUGCCAGCAGCCGCGGUAAUACGGAGGGGUGCGAGCGUUAAUCGGAAUUACUGGGCGUAAAGCGCGCGUAGGCGGUCUGAUAAGCCGGUUGUGAAAGCCCCGGGCUCAACCUGGGAACGGCAUCCGGAACUGUCAGGCUAGAGUGCAGGAGAGGAAGGUAGAAUUCCCGGUGUAGCGGUGAAAUGCGUAGAGAUCGGGAGGAAUACCAGUGGCGAAGGCGGCCUUCUGGACUGACACUGACGCUGAGGUGCGAAAGCGUGGGUAGCAAACAGGAUUAGAUACCCCGGUAGUC